UACGUAGGGAGCAAGCGUUGUCCGGAAUUAUUGGGCGUAAAGCGCGCGUAGGCGGCCUUUUAAGUCGGAUGUGAAAGCCCUCGGCUCAACUGGGGAAGUGCACCCGAAACUGAAAGGCUUGAGUACUGAAGAGGGUCGCGGAAUUCCCAGUGUAGAGGUGAAAUUCGUAGAUAUUGGGAGGAACACCAGCGGCGAAGGCGGCGACCUGGUCAGAUACUGACGCUGAGGCGCGAAAGCGUGGGGAGCAAACAGG
RNAcentral lists this ribosomal RNA (253 nucleotides) under uncultured bacterium. Its description in RNAcentral is "partial 16S ribosomal RNA". It matches the Rfam family "Bacterial small subunit ribosomal RNA", at positions 524 to 776 of the family's 1533-position model. The record is from RNAcentral.